Small nucleolar RNA from Tachyglossus aculeatus (Australian echidna), 137 nucleotides. NCBI's taxonomy places the organism in Eukaryota, Metazoa, Chordata, Mammalia, Monotremata, Tachyglossidae. The record is from RefSeq and is a predicted model, not a curated record.
CCCCUCUCAGGAUGGCACCUGGAGAGUUUCCAGUACUCUACCAGUCUUGACUAUAGGAGGGAGAGUCAAGCAGAGGCAUGCCCAUUCCAUUCCUAGCUUGGCCGGUGGCUAGCGAGGGGAAGGGAUCUGCUACAAGU